Molecule: transfer RNA, 69 nt
Filed under: Labrus mixtus (cuckoo wrasse)
Lineage: Eukaryota; Metazoa; Chordata; Actinopteri; Labriformes; Labridae
Description: tRNA-Cys
Rfam family: tRNA
About the family: Transfer RNA (tRNA) molecules are approximately 80 nucleotides in length. Their secondary structure includes four short double-helical elements and three loops (D, anti-codon, and T loops). Further hydrogen bonds mediate the characteristic L-shaped molecular structure. tRNAs have two regions of fundamental functional importance: the anti-codon, which is responsible for specific mRNA codon recognition, and the 3' end, to which the tRNAs corresponding amino acid is attached (by aminoacyl-tRNA synthetases). tRNAs cope with the degeneracy of the genetic code in two manners: having more than one tRNA (with a specific anti-codon) for a particular amino acid; and 'wobble' base-pairing, i.e. permitting non-standard base-pairing at the 3rd anti-codon position.
Source: RNAcentral
AGCCUUGAGGUGUAAUUUACAUGUUGGAUUGCAAAUCCAGAGAAGCCGGUUAGUUACCAGCCGGGGCUU